This 447-nucleotide ribosomal RNA is filed under the name uncultured bacterium. RNAcentral describes it as "bacterial SSU rRNA". It matches the Rfam family "Bacterial small subunit ribosomal RNA", at positions 355 to 825 of the family's 1533-position model. The record is from RNAcentral.
UGGGGAAUCUUGGACAAUGGGCGCAAGCCUGAUCCAGCCAUGCCGCGUGAGUGACGAAGGCCUUAGGGUUGUAAAGCUCUUUUGGCGGGGACGAUAAUGACGGUACCCGCAGAAUAAGCCCCGGCUAACUUCGUGCCAGCAGCCGCGGUAAUACGAAGGGGGCUAGCGUUGUUCGGAAUUACUGGGCGUAAAGCGCACGUAGGCGGAUUUGUCAGUCAGGGGUGAAAUCCCGAGGCUCAACCUCGGAACUGCCUCCGAUACAGCAAGUCUCGAGUCCGAGAGAGGUGGGUGGAAUUCCUAGUGUAGAGGUGAAAUUCGUAGAUAUUAGGAAGAACACCGGUGGCGAAGGCGGCCCACUGGCUCGGUACUGACACUGAGGUGCGAAAGCGUGGGGAGCAAACAGGAUUAGAUACCCAAGUAGUCCCUGAGCGGGCUGGCAAGGCGCAU